AGCAGGUUCCAGAGAGAAAGAUGAGAAAGACAGGAAGACGGAGCACAGACAACUAAGCAAGGCACCAAGCUGAAAGGGGGAGUGGAGGCAUUGUGGGGGAUGCAGGUGGGCGGGGGUGGCUGCCCUGCCAGGAAAGAGAUGACUGGCCUCCAGCUGGACUGAGACACCAAGGACACUGUGACAAGUGGAACCUGAGUAACUCUGACCGACGAAGGUUUUAUGACGGUCACGAUCCCAUUAUUCUUUUUCCAAAGCAAGUUACCUGCAGAGCUGGGAGCCUGUCAGGUCAGCAAGGUCACCCUGGAAAUUGGGGGCCCUAGCACAGACCGUGAGAGUGCAAUAGAGCUGGGGGCCCCCAUGGAUAAACUUAUUUGCAGACUCACGACAGCACAGGACAGAGAACGACUCACCCCGGCCCCUUAUUUUCUGAAACCGCAGCAUUCUCUCCCAGGGCCAAUCAACGCUCACGCUCCCCAUGUUGUGCGUCCAUUCACGGCUCUGACGUGAUCCGCGGCUGGGUACAGCCACGGCUGAAACCAACCAGGUCCCCGGCCUCAGAAACAGAAGCAGAAUCAUUUCAGGAAACACAAGUUCCAAGUGACCCACUCUCUCCUCUGAGAACAUCUUUAGCCAAACCCAACUUUGACAGAAAACGCUCUCCUUUCCGUAUCUCAGCUCCAGAGUUUGACCGACACGUCUAGCCAGCGAGACCCACCAGCAGACGAGGGCAAUUGAUGGGUGACGCUUCCUGGGAGCCCCCCCACCUUCCGGGCAGGAACGCUGUACCGCCCUGCGCUGCCCCACCACAGAAAUGGGGCCACCCCUGUGACAGCAGACGGGCAGAGGGAGCCUGGGUCGCCAAUACCAGCGAGCUUCCAGACGAGCCCUAGACUUGUUACAGCUGCCUCAUCCCACAGGACACAACCAUCGUCUGUCUGCUGGAAGCCACUGCGUGGGGCCUUCAGCACAGCAGCUGAGCCUUUCAUCUGGCUGACAUAACCUUUCUGAGUUAGCCACUGGAAAAUGGAAGAUCCGUGAAGGAGAGCAGUGCAGGGAACGAGCACUCCGGCUCGAAAGGGGCAGAGGGUAGCUCUCUCCAGGGAAGCGUGUGCCGAGAGGCUGUCUGGCAGGCAUAACCGUACCGAGAGGCAUUCCACAGAGGAUGGGAGACUGGAUGUUCAGAGCAGGUGGGAGACGCGGUGGGGAGACAUGGUCACGGCGCUGGCUCCGCGCUCAGCGGCACUCACGCAGGCCGAGUCUGAGGCUGGCCAACAGGAGGCCAGGGGAGGCGGAGCCACAAACUGGGAGCACAGCUAGAGCAGCGGCCCCGGUGAAGCGAGGAUGGGGCAGCUGCAUUUUGUCAAAAGCCGUUUUGGACCACUUCCAUAGAAUAUCUUGGUUUAAAAUAAUUAAUUUAAAAGUUUUUUUAAAGUGCCAGAGAAACAUCCAAGGCCACUG
Ailuropoda melanoleuca (giant panda) is the source of this 1458-nucleotide long non-coding RNA. RefSeq lists it as uncharacterized. The transcript is spliced from 3 exons. The record is from RefSeq and is a predicted model, not a curated record. NCBI's taxonomy places the organism in Eukaryota, Metazoa, Chordata, Mammalia, Carnivora, Ursidae.